Long non-coding RNA from Cydia splendana, 602 nucleotides. RefSeq lists it as uncharacterized. Lineage: Eukaryota; Metazoa; Arthropoda; Insecta; Lepidoptera; Tortricidae. The transcript has 3 exons. The record is from RefSeq and is a predicted model, not a curated record.
UUAUGACUGUCGGUUUUAUUGCAAAUUACUGAAAUUAAUUAAUUUAUUUAAAAUAUUAUAAAUAAUUAAUGUUAGAUUGACCGACUCAACAAACUUUGUUUUUAAUAUGUAAUUGUUUUUAUCGAUUACCUAUGCUAUGCAGUUCAUUCGCGCAAAAUGUGUAGUGGGUGAUGUUAUUAUUAGGAACAAAUUGGAAAAAAGUAUAAUAAAUUGGAUUUUAUGGAACAAACAAAUUAAUCCAGCGAAAAACGAAGUAAAAGGACGCAGAGUAGCGUGAGAACGACGGUCUCCCGAAAUAUGUGGCGAAGGAUACCACGCAAUCUGCACGUGACGCGCGAACUGCCGGGAUUACUCGCUUCUAACUUGAGCAGCGCGGCAUGUUAGGGUGACCACACACUGAAGCCGAUGGAGAAAUAAUUGACCUCCGACUGCGAGGUAACGUUAAAAAUGAAAUGUGCGCAGACUUUAUUUACUUUAAUAAUUGGACAAGUGUAUAAAUUAGGCCGUAUUAAAGUGGAACAAAUUACCUGUCACGAAAACAACUUGUUUAUUAAUUACUGAAAGAGCUGCUUGUAAACAUCGUUGUGUAAUUGUAAUUAAUU